GUACUAAUCACCAAGGGAUUUUGAUAAAAGGAAGACCCUGAGCAAUGGGUUCAGGGCAGGUCCUGAGAUUCUGCAUUUCUAACAAAUUCCUAGGUGAACAGGAU
This 104-nucleotide microRNA precursor is filed under the name Marmota monax (woodchuck). The record is from RNAcentral. Lineage: Eukaryota; Metazoa; Chordata; Mammalia; Rodentia; Sciuridae.